This is a long non-coding RNA of Talpa occidentalis (Iberian mole), 1033 nucleotides long. RefSeq lists it as uncharacterized. The record is from RefSeq and is a predicted model, not a curated record. NCBI's taxonomy places the organism in Eukaryota, Metazoa, Chordata, Mammalia, Eulipotyphla, Talpidae. The transcript has 3 exons.
UCUGGGCCCACCUCGUCCAGCCGCCGGUCUGUGCCCAAGGAGAUGAGGAGCAAGGCCAGGUCGGAGUAGUCGAAGGUCUCGUCCAGGGCAAGCAGCGCCCCGUGCACCCCGCUCUCCGUGAGGUUCGUGGCGAAUUCCUUCAGACCCAAACCAGACACCCAACCCAUGACCCGCUCAUUGGACCACACCAUCACGUCUGUGGAGAGAAGCGACCCUCAGCAGCGCCCAUCCCGGCGCCAGAGCUGUCCGAGGUAGCCCGUCCCGCCGAACCCCGCCUCUCUCCUGGCCACGCCCCCAGGCCGGCAUCUCCCCAACCCCAAACCGGUGUGACCCCCCCUCACCCCUAACCUGGCUCCCAGUGAAAUUCACAGACUCUUCUCACCUCGGAUCUGGGUCUGACUCUCUUCCCGCCUCCGCUCCAAGUCCUUCCGGUCGUAGUUGAGCCGUUUCAGGCACAUGAUCCCGUAAUGCAGACUCACCCUGAGCAGUAAGGGAAUUGAGGUCACAGAAAAAGCCUUCACGACCUCAGCGACGGCUGCUCCUAUUGGCCCUCCCCACUGACUGUGGUCGUCCCGAAGAGGUUGGGGAGAUGCUCCAUUGGAAGGACAAUGGCCAUCUCUGCUCAAGAGCACGGCCCUGUCGACGUGGUCUCUGCUCCUUCAUGACACAGUAAACUCCUGUGUGUUCAGAGCGUGGUCCUUGGGCCACAGCACCACCAUCGUCUGUGAAUUUGCUGGAACUGCACAAUCUCAGACCCCACCCUAGGCUACUGAAUCAGAACCUGAUUCUCACAAGAUCCUCAAGUGAUCUGAACUGGCCAUUAAAGUUUAAGAAGCACUAAUCUAGCUCGUCCUAACUCGGGACAAUGGAUCCUUCAAAUAUACCCUCCCCCCAACAAAGGCUAAUGGACCCAUUCAUCACUCCUGCACUGUCCCCCAAAUACCAGCCUAUUCCUGUGUCUGGCAGCCCAACAUUUCCUCCACCUCAGGUGAGUUCAUGUCUCCCCCUUCUUGAAAAUAAAGCGUAGCUCCAC